Molecule: antisense RNA, 194 nt
Filed under: Klebsiella pneumoniae
Lineage: Bacteria; Pseudomonadati; Pseudomonadota; Gammaproteobacteria; Enterobacterales; Enterobacteriaceae
Description: Yersinia sRNA 276
Rfam family: Yersinia sRNA 276
Source: RNAcentral
ACCGACAUCAGCGACUCGUUCUGCGACCCAUUGCCGACGGCGAGGUAGGCGUUCAUCCCCAGCUCGCGCAUCUGCUGUUCGCCGAUCACCCGGGUGAUGACGUUUUUGCUGUAGGUAUCGGCCAGCUGACGCGCCUGAGAGGCCAGAUAGGCGGCGUUACAGAUGUUCGGCGGCAUAUUGCCAAGAUCUUUUGC